GAUGAACGCUAGCGGCAGGCUUAACACAUGCAAGUCGAGGGGCAACACGGGUAGCAAUACCUGGUGGCGACCGGCGCAAGGGUGCGUAACGCGUGAGCAACAUGCCCUAUACAGGGGGAUAAUCCAGGGAAACUUGGUCUAAUAUCCCAUAGUAUUUAGAGGUGGCAUCACCACUAAAUUAAAGCUUCGGUGGUAUAGGAUUGGCUCGCGUGACAUUAGCUGGAUGGUGGGGUAACGGCUCACCAUGGCGAUGAUGUCUAGGGGUUCUGAGAGGAAGACCCCCCACACUGGGACUGAGACACGGCCCAGACUCCUACGGGAGGCAGCAGUGAGGAAUAUUGGACAAUGGAUGGAAAUCUGAUCCCAGCCAUGCCGCGUGCAGGAAGACGGCCCUAUGGGUUGUAAACUGCUUUUAUAUGGAGCAAUAAGGUUUACGCGUAGACCGAUGAGAGUACCAUAUGAAUAAGCAUCGGCUAACUCCG
RNAcentral lists this ribosomal RNA (482 nucleotides) under uncultured bacterium. Its description in RNAcentral is "bacterial SSU rRNA". It matches the Rfam family "Bacterial small subunit ribosomal RNA", at positions 28 to 505 of the family's 1533-position model. The record is from RNAcentral.